Molecule: long non-coding RNA, 796 nt
Filed under: Homo sapiens (human)
Lineage: Eukaryota; Metazoa; Chordata; Mammalia; Primates; Hominidae
Description: HSALNT0041615
Source: RNAcentral
GUGAAAACAACAUGAACAGUUUCAGGUUCUGCAAUGUGCCAUCUACAAUAAUCUGAAGCAUGAAUUCUAAAUGUCCUAAAAAUGAACACAUAACUGCACCUUCUUGAAAGCAGACAAGUAACAUCCUUCCUUACUCCUGAAUCAGCCUCAGAGACGGCCUUAAUGGUGCAUAACAAGGAGACACCGAAAGGCACAUUGAGCCAGACUCUGAUAAACUCUGAAGAAACUGGAGGGUAUAGAGACGAAGAUCUGGAGCUUCAGCUGUUCAUGCCUUGGGUGAGCCAUGAACUGCUUCCCAUAGGGAAGCAUUGUUCAGUAAAUGAUUGACAUCACAGGAGCCUUACCAGGACAACAACAAGAUAGUGAAUAGUGCCCACCUGGUGGGGCGCCCACUAUUCUGUAAAAUCACAGCCAAAUACUAUACUACAGUUUACAAUGUAAGUUAUAAAAUAAUCUUUUGUGUGUGUGUGUGUUGAGAUAAAUUAAAUGGAUGUAAAUUGACUAAAAUAGAGUUGGUGGAUGACAAAAGAGCUAUAAAGAUAAGUACAUUCCCUAUGUGCUGUAUAAAGUAGGUUUGGGGAAAAUGUGCUCUUAAAGAAGUUUUUGCAUAGAAUCUUUCUACUAACUAGCUGAUGACAUAAAUCAAUUUUAAAGACAUGACCAAUAUGAUCCCAACCUGUAAUUACCACCAGUAAAUGAAUAGGCUUGGCAGGGAGGGAAGGAAUUAGGAUGCAGAUCAAUCUAUUGUUUAGCUUUCCGUUUUCUGUAGGCCCUCACUUUUGGACACGUUGUCAGA